UUGUCACAUGACCCUCGGCUGGCACAAAAUGCAACCAGGGUCUCUCCAAUUUUCUUAGAAAAGCAGUUAACUUGUUGCUGCCUCAAAGAUUUUAUUCAUCCUGAACCCCAAGAGGAAGGCCCUCUUCCAAGAAACGAGCGACUAUGUAUCUGAAAGCACUUCCAUGAGCAAGAACAGCCCUAGGCCUUUCGACAGACACUCCUGACUGGUCUGGUGAGCCAUGGAAGAUUUCUAAGUAGGGAAGGAGGAACCCCAGCGUCAAGGGAGGCCUCAUGAUCUGGCCAGCGUUGUCCUUAGUGCUUUGAUGUGUCCUCUCACUUAGUGUUUGUAACACCCCUGCCCCAUGGACGUUCUUAUCCUCAUUGUGAUGGUUAAGGAAAGUGCAAUUAUAGGAUCAGUCCAAGAGUCAGAUUCUGUAUUUCAAUCCAAGGUAAAUAUAAUAAUGAUUACCCCUGACAGUUGGAAUGCUCACUCCACUGGGGGGGGGGCGGUUCGUGAAUAGCGAGACAUGAAAGUAAGGUCAAGCUUAAAAAGACUGUAAGAGCCUUUGACACUUGCUCACAACAGACAGUGGCACCCAGAGUGACAGCACAUGGCUGUACAGCUUCUGCAGGACACAGGCACCUGAGGUCACAUCAUAGGUAUCACGUAUUUGUAAUUUUAUUUUCACGAAAUCCUGGUAGAUGUCAGUGAAGUGUCUUGUUCUAACAAAAGCAGCCCAUGAUGUAGUUUUCCAGCAAACAGAAAUGAAGCGUCUUGAGGAAGGGCAUCUUUUCCUACUUGGUGCCAUGACACCGACUACAUGAGCUGGUUUAAGGGCAGUGAUCCUUAAAUCACUAACUAUUCUGUGAAACUCCUAGCUGGUCUGCAUUGGAUUGGUCUCCCUUCCACCAUAUCAAUGUAUCAAAAUAUCCGUGGUUUCCAAUUAC
Long non-coding RNA from Lutra lutra (Eurasian river otter), 929 nucleotides. RefSeq lists it as uncharacterized. NCBI's taxonomy places the organism in Eukaryota, Metazoa, Chordata, Mammalia, Carnivora, Mustelidae. The record is from RefSeq and is a predicted model, not a curated record. The transcript has 3 exons.